CAUGUGGUUAAUGAUGCACACUUUUUUCCCCGUCUUAUCGACUUUGGUGAGAAAAAAAACUGAAAACUAAGCCAGUUGUGUCUGAAACCACAUG
Molecule: small nucleolar RNA, 94 nt
Organism: Myripristis murdjan (pinecone soldierfish)
Lineage: Eukaryota; Metazoa; Chordata; Actinopteri; Holocentriformes; Holocentridae
Product: small nucleolar SNORD12/SNORD106
Source: Ensembl